UGCAUUUGUAGCUCAUGAGGAUGAGAACCUCCGGGGGGCGGGGAGGUUCGACUCGAGCGAAGCGAGAGAACGUUGCGCCAGC
RNAcentral lists this small RNA (82 nucleotides) under Escherichia coli. RNAcentral describes it as "partial RtT sRNA". It matches the Rfam family "RtT RNA", at positions 1 to 77 of the family's 130-position model. Rfam says of the family: This family represents a bacterial cis-regulatory element known as RtT RNA. The exact function of RtT is unknown although it is thought that it may be involved in changing the cellular response in relation to amino acid starvation. The record is from RNAcentral. Lineage: Bacteria; Pseudomonadati; Pseudomonadota; Gammaproteobacteria; Enterobacterales; Enterobacteriaceae.